UACGUAGGGCGCAAGCGUUAUCCGGAAUUAUUGGGCGUAAAGAGCUCGUAGGCGGUUUGUCGCGUCUGCCGUGAAAGUCCGGGGCUCAACUGCGGAUCUGCGGUGGGUACGGGCAGACUAGAGUGAUGUAGGGGAGACUGGAAUUCCUGGUGUAGCGGUGAAAUGCGCAGAUAUCAGGAGGAACACCGAUGGCGAAGGCAGGUCUCUGGGCAUUAACUGACGCUGAGGAGCGAAAGCAUGGGGAGCGAACAGG
Molecule: ribosomal RNA, 253 nt
Filed under: uncultured bacterium
Lineage: Bacteria
Description: partial 16S ribosomal RNA
Rfam family: Bacterial small subunit ribosomal RNA
Source: RNAcentral